RNAcentral lists this long non-coding RNA (1721 nucleotides) under Homo sapiens (human). RNAcentral's name for it is "non-protein coding lnc-ORMDL2-3:1". Lineage: Eukaryota; Metazoa; Chordata; Mammalia; Primates; Hominidae. The record is from RNAcentral.
CAGCCUCCCAAAGUGCCGGGAUUACAGGCGUGAACCACCACACCCAGCCCACCCUACAUCUUUCUCCCGUGCUGGAUGCUUCCUGCCCUCAAACAUCAGACUCCAAGUUCUUCAGUUUAGGGACUCAGACUGGUUUUCCUUGCUCCUCAGCUUGCAGACAGCCUAUUGUGGGACCUUGUGAUUGUGUAAGUUAAUACUUAAUAAACUACUAUAUAUAUAUACUAUUAGUUCUAUCCCUCUAAGAGAACCCUGACUAAUAUAGGGUCUUUUGUUUCUUUGAAGACAGGGUCUAAUUCUGAUUGCCCAGGCUGGAGUGCAAUGGUGCAAUCUCGACUCAGUUCCUCGAGUUCCCAGGCUCAGGUGAUUCUCCCAUCUCAGCUCCCCAAGUAGCUGGGACUACAAGUGUGUGCCCCGACACCUGGCUAAUUUUUUGUAUUUCUUUUUUCAGUAGAGGCAGAGUUGCGCUAUGUUGCCUAGGUUGGUCUCAAACUCCUGGACUCAAGCAAUCCGCCCGCCUCCGCCACUCAGAGUGCUGGAAUUACAACUGUAAGCCACCGUGCCUGGCCUCAGGUUUUAAUUUUUUAUCUCCUUCACUAGUUUUCACUAAACUAGAAAAAGGCCACCUUUUCUAGUUUAUCUUUAAUGGGCCCAAUUAUUCCCUCAUAUUUAAGCCCUUCAUGUAUUAGUUUUUGUUGUUUUUUUUUUUGAGACAGAGUCUCACUCUGUUGCCCAGGCUGGAGUGCAGUGGCAUGAUCUCGGCUCACUGCAACCUCCACCUCCCAGGUUCAAGUGAUUCUCCCAACUCAGCCUCCCGAGUAGCUGGUAUUAAAGGCUCCUGCCACCACGCCCGGCUAAUUUUUGUGUUUUUAGUAGAAACGGGGUUUCAUCAUGUUGGCCAGGCUGGUCUCAAACUCCUGACCUCAGGUAACCCACCUGCCUCAGCCUCCCAAAGUGCUGGGAUUACAGGCGUGAGCCACCACGCCCGGCCUCAUGUAUUACUUCUAUAUCUCAAACAGGAUCUAUACUUUCUUUAACAUGCAUGAUAUCAUUAUCUUUGGAAGCAAGUGUUAGAGGGAAGAUUCCAUCACAGGCACUGAUUUGAGAUAAAAAAGCGUCUCCACGGCCGAAAUCAACUCCUCUCACAAAGCCAGCAAUAUUCACUACAUCUAGAAAGGCAGAAAUUUUGCGUGCUAGUUUGUGGUCCUGACAAAGAAAGUCAAAUCUUUCAUCUGGCACAGGUACUCUCCUCUAGUUAGAAUCAACAGUUUAGAAUAGGAAGUUUACUGCUGAAGUCUGACUACUGGUUAAUACAGUGAAGAUGGCAGAUUUCCAAACAUUUGGCAAUCCAGCAACACUAAUUUUCAGUGAGAUUCCAAAUCUUCCAAUAAUUGGGAGUGGUUUAAUUCCAUCACCUCCCUUUUUGGGGGUCAUCAUCCUUGGGGUGGGCAAUGAUAUGGGGUAUCAGUGUCAGCGAGGGACAGGUCCUGCUGGCAGUCAGAGGUAGACAGGAAGGAAGAGAGAGCAGGCCUGGCCCCUCUGCUAAGUGGCAUGCUGAGCAGUAGUCUAUUUUAGGUCAAUUUUUGUUCUUUAAUUUUUUUCAAGAUAAUUUCUUUUCUUUACUUUUCUUUUUUUUGAAACAGAGUCUUGCUCUGUUGCCCAGGCUGGAGUAAGUGGUGCAAACUUGGCUCACUGCAACCUCCAGGUCCUGGGUUCAAGCGAUU